CCUACGGGAGGCAGCAGUGAGGAAUAUUGGUCAAUGGGCUUACGUCUGAACCAGCAAAGUCGCGUGAGGGAAGAAUGCCCUAUGGGUUGUAAACCCUUUUUGUCAGGGAGCAACGCCGGCUAAGUGUAGCAGGACUGAGAGGACCUGAAGAAAAAGCGUCGGCAAAGUCGGUGCCAGCAGACGCGGCAAUACGGAGGAUGCGAGCGUUAUCCGGAUUUAUUGGGUUUUAAGGGAGAGUAGGCGGCAUGCCAAGUCAGGGGUAAAAUCGCGGGGCUAAACCUCGUUCCGCCGUUGAAACUGGCGAUCUUGAGUGCAGGAGAGGCAGACGGAAUUCCUAGUGUAGCGGUGAAAUGCGUAGAUAUUAGGAGGAACACCAGUGGCGAAGGCGGUCUGCUGGACAGUAACUGACGCUGAGGCGCGAAAGCGUGGGGAGCAAACAGGAUUAGAUACCCCUGUAGUC
RNAcentral lists this ribosomal RNA (460 nucleotides) under uncultured bacterium. RNAcentral's name for it is "partial 16S ribosomal RNA". It matches the Rfam family "Bacterial small subunit ribosomal RNA", at positions 338 to 795 of the family's 1533-position model. The record is from RNAcentral.